Molecule: ribosomal RNA, 465 nt
Filed under: uncultured bacterium
Lineage: Bacteria
Description: partial 16S ribosomal RNA
Rfam family: Bacterial small subunit ribosomal RNA
Source: RNAcentral
GCGGCGUGCUUCAUACAUGCAAGUCGAACGAGAAGCAGGAGCUUGCUCCUGUGGAAAGUGGCGGACGGGUGAGUAACACGUAGGAAAUCUGCCUUUGGGUGGGGGACAACAGUUGGAAACGACUGCUAAUACCCCAUGUGAGCUUGGUUGCAAUACCAAUCUUGAAAACUCCGGUGCCUAAAGAUGAGCCUGCGUCUGAUUAGCUUGUUGGCGGGGUAAUGGCCCACCAAGGCGACGAUCAGUAGCUGGUUUGAGAGGAUGAUCAGCCACAAUGGGACUGAGACACGGCCCAUACUCCUACGGGAGGCAGCAGUAGGGAAUUUUGCGCAAUGGGGGAAACCCUGACGCAGCAACGCCGCGUGAAUGACGAAGCCCUUCGGGGUGUAAAGUUCUGUCAGUAGGGAAGAAUUUUGACUGUACCUACAAAUGAAGCACCGGCUAACUCCGUGCCAGCCGCCGCGGUAA